CUCAAGUUUAGUGUACAACCGUUAACUCAGUUUAUAUUUUCUCUUUCAUGCUCUGAUAUUGCUUCAUAUUUGUACACUGGAUUACUCUCUGCGUUCUCUUUCUUACCAAACCACACAGGCUGGAUGUUUCAAUUUGGCUUUGCAGGUUGGGAAUAUAGAUGAAAGAGAGUCUGGUGAAUCUUUGGCACCUAAUGUCCAAAAGUUACUUAUUUCCAGUAAUGAUAGACCACUUGUUAGAAUGAAAGCUGCACAAUGCCUUCUAAGGUGGUACAGGAAGAAUCCUGGUCUUGUCAAUAUAGAUGGGUGGAACUAGUGAUUGAAUGCGCCUUGAGGAAUCUAAAGAAGAAAAGGAAAACAGUUGCACCUGGGUGUGUUAAUUUUAGUGCACCACCAAAU
This is a long non-coding RNA of Papaver somniferum (opium poppy), 396 nucleotides long. RefSeq lists it as uncharacterized. Lineage: Eukaryota; Viridiplantae; Streptophyta; Magnoliopsida; Ranunculales; Papaveraceae. The record is from RefSeq and is a predicted model, not a curated record. The transcript has 3 exons.